Molecule: ribosomal RNA, 484 nt
Filed under: uncultured bacterium
Lineage: Bacteria
Description: partial 16S ribosomal RNA
Rfam family: Bacterial small subunit ribosomal RNA
Source: RNAcentral
AUUGAACGCUGGCGGCAUGCUUUACACAUGCAAGUCGAACGGCAGCGCGGGCUUCGGCCUGGCGGCGAGUGGCGAACGGGUGAGUAAUGCAUCGGAACGUGCCCAGUAGUGGGGGAUAGCCCGGCGAAAGCCGGAUUAAUACCGCAUACGACCUGAGGGUGAAAGCGGGGGACCGAAAGGCCUCGCGCUAUUGGAGCGGCCGAUGUCGGAUUAGCUAGUUGGUGGGGUAAAGGCUUACCAAGGCGACGAUCCGUAGCUGGUCUGAGAGGACGACCAGCCACACUGGGACUGAGACACGGCCCAGACGCCUACGGGAGGCAGCAGUGGGGAAUUUGGGACAAUGGGGGCAACCCUGAUCCAGCCAUGCCGCGUGCGGGAAGAAGGCCUUCGGGUUGGAAACCGCUUUUGUUCGGGAAGAAAUCCUCUGGGCUAAUACCCCGGGGGGAUGACGGUACCGGAAGAAUAAGCACCGGCUAACUACGUG